UCUCUUGUAGUAUAGUGGUCAGUAUACGGGCUUGUCACGCCCGGGACCCGGGGUUCAAUUCCCGGCGAGAGAG
RNAcentral lists this transfer RNA (73 nucleotides) under Grosmannia clavigera kw1407. Its description in RNAcentral is "tRNA-Asp (GTC) (tRNA-Asp-GTC-2-1)". It matches the Rfam family "tRNA". Rfam says of the family: Transfer RNA (tRNA) molecules are approximately 80 nucleotides in length. Their secondary structure includes four short double-helical elements and three loops (D, anti-codon, and T loops). The record is from Rfam by way of RNAcentral. Lineage: Eukaryota; Fungi; Ascomycota; Sordariomycetes; Ophiostomatales; Ophiostomataceae.